ACUCUCGGCAAUGGAUAUCUUGGUUCUUGCAUCGAUGAAAAACAUAGUGAAAUGCGAUACUUGGUGUGAAUUGUAGAAUCCCAUGAACCAUUGAGUCUUUGAACGCAAGUUGCGCCUGAAGCCAUUAGGUUAAAGGCACGUCUGCCUAAGCGUC
This 154-nucleotide ribosomal RNA is filed under the name Rhododendron griersonianum. RNAcentral describes it as "5.8S ribosomal RNA". It matches the Rfam family "5.8S ribosomal RNA". Rfam says of the family: 5.8S ribosomal RNA (5.8S rRNA) is a component of the large subunit of the eukaryotic ribosome. Lineage: Eukaryota; Viridiplantae; Streptophyta; Magnoliopsida; Ericales; Ericaceae. The record is from RNAcentral.